Molecule: ribosomal RNA, 495 nt
Filed under: uncultured bacterium
Lineage: Bacteria
Description: partial 16S ribosomal RNA
Rfam family: Bacterial small subunit ribosomal RNA
Source: RNAcentral
GACGAACGCUGGCGGCGUGCCUAAUACAUGCAAGUAGAACGCUGAAGGAGGAGCUUGCUUCUCUGGAUGAGUUGCGAACGGGUGAGUAACGCGUAGGUAACCUGCCUGGUAGCGGGGGAUAACUAUUGGAAACGAUAGCUAAUACCGCAUAAUAGUAGAUGUUGCAUGACAUUUGCUUAAAAGGUGCAAUUGCAUCACUACCAGAUGGCCCUGCGUUGUAUUAGCUAGUUGGUGAGGUAACGGCUCACCAAGGCAACGAUACAUAGCCGACCUGAGAGGGUGAGCGGCCACACUGGGACUGAGACACGGCCCAGACUCCUGCGGGAGGCAGCAGGAGGGAAUCUUCGGCAAAGGACGGAAGGCUGACCGAGCAACGCCGCGUGAGUGAAGAAGGUUGUCGGAUCGUAAAGCUCAGUUGUAAGAGAAGAACGAGUGUGAGAGUGGAAAGUUCACACUGUGACGGUAUCUGACCAGAAAGAGACGGCUAACUACGUG